UACAGAGGUCUCAAGCGUUGUUCGGAUUCAUUGGGCGUAAAGGGUGUGUAGGUGGCGCGCUAAGUCGGGUGUGAAAUUUCGGAGCUUAACUCCGAAACUGCAUUCGAUACUGGCGUGCUUGAGGACUGGAGAGGAGACUGGAAUUCAUGGUGUAGCAGUGAAAUGCGUAGAGAUCAUGAGGAAGACCAGUGGCGAAGGCGGGUCUCUGGACAGUUCCUGACACUGAGACACGAAGGCUAGGGGAGCAAACGGG
RNAcentral lists this ribosomal RNA (253 nucleotides) under uncultured bacterium. RNAcentral's name for it is "partial 16S ribosomal RNA". It matches the Rfam family "Bacterial small subunit ribosomal RNA", at positions 524 to 776 of the family's 1533-position model. The record is from RNAcentral.